Hibiscus syriacus is the source of this 141-nucleotide long non-coding RNA. RefSeq lists it as uncharacterized. The transcript has 3 exons. Lineage: Eukaryota; Viridiplantae; Streptophyta; Magnoliopsida; Malvales; Malvaceae. The record is from RefSeq and is a predicted model, not a curated record.
UAGAGCUGCCGAUGAGCACAAACCAGCAGCUAUCAUCAAAAGACAAAAAGACUUGCCCAUCUACACAUGUUUUUAUCAACAUAUACUAGCGGGGUGGCUAUACCUCCAAACCCAGGAAUCACUCCAAGUGACAAUUCUGGC